GUAUUAUAUAAAAGGCAACUUUUCUUUAGCACUUCCCUGGACAAGGGCAGAAAAGGCCCAUGGGUCUUAUAAUUUUGAUGAUUUGGGCAUUGCUUUUAGUUAAAGAAGGUUAUAGUGAUAUUUU
This is a small nuclear RNA of Psammomys obesus (fat sand rat), 124 nucleotides long. The record is from RefSeq and is a predicted model, not a curated record. NCBI's taxonomy places the organism in Eukaryota, Metazoa, Chordata, Mammalia, Rodentia, Muridae.